GGCGAACGCUUGCGGCGUGCUUAACACAUGCAAGUCGAACGGAAAGGCCCUGCUUUUGUGGGGUGCUCGAGUGGCGAACGGGUGAGUAACACGUGAGUAACCUGCCCUUGACUUUGGGAUAACUUCAGGAAACUGGGGCUAAUACCGGAUAGGAGCUCCUGCUGCAUGGUGGGGGUUGGAAAGUUUCGGCGGUUGGGGAUGGACUCGCGGCUUAUCAGCUUGUUGGUGGGGUAGUGGCUUACCAAGGCUUUGACGGGUAGCCGGCCUGAGAGGGUGACCGGCCACAUUGGGACUGAGAUACGGCCCAGACUCCUACGGGAGGCAGCAGUGGGGAAUAUUGCACAAUGGGCGGAAGCCUGAUGCAGCAACGCCGCGUGCGGGAUGACGGCCUUCGGGUUGUAAACCGCUUUCGCCUGUGACGAAGCGUGAGUGACGGUAAUGGGUAAAGAAGCACCGGCUAACUACGUG
This 468-nucleotide ribosomal RNA is filed under the name uncultured bacterium. RNAcentral describes it as "partial 16S ribosomal RNA". It matches the Rfam family "Bacterial small subunit ribosomal RNA", at positions 28 to 507 of the family's 1533-position model. The record is from RNAcentral.